RNAcentral lists this ribosomal RNA (408 nucleotides) under uncultured bacterium. RNAcentral's name for it is "partial 16S ribosomal RNA". It matches the Rfam family "Bacterial small subunit ribosomal RNA", at positions 28 to 526 of the family's 1533-position model. The record is from RNAcentral.
GACGAACGCUGGCGGCGUGCUUAACACAUGCAAGUCGAACGAAGUGGCGAACGGGUGAGUAACGCGGAAUCAACCUGCCCUUCAGAGGGGGACAACAGGUGGAAACGACUGCAAAUACGGCAUAUGGAAGGUGGGGAUGGCGUGUGAUUGGCUGGUUGGAGGGGUAACGGCCCACCAAGGCGAUGAUCAGUAGCCUGUCUGAGGGGAUGAACGGCCACAUUGGGACUGAGACACGGCCCAGACUCCUACGGGAGGCAGCAGUGGGGAAUCUUCCGCAAUGGACGAAAGUCUGACGGAGCAACGCCGCGUGAGUGAUGACGGCCUUCGGGUUGUAAAGCUCUGUUAAUCGGGACGCGGUACCGGAAUAGAAAGCCACGGCUAACUACGUGCCAGCAGCCGCGGUAAUAC